This 328-nucleotide ribosomal RNA is filed under the name uncultured eukaryote. RNAcentral's name for it is "partial 18S ribosomal RNA". It matches the Rfam family "Eukaryotic small subunit ribosomal RNA", at positions 1470 to 1796 of the family's 1831-position model. The record is from RNAcentral.
CCCUUAGAUGUUCUGGGCUGCACGCGCGCUACACUGAUGCGUUCAACGAGUUUACGGCCUUGCCCGAUAGGGUUGGGUAAUCUUCUUAAAACGCAUCGUGAUGGGGAUAGAUUAUUGCAAUUAUUAAUUUUCAACGAGGAAUUCCUAGUAAGUGCGAGUCAUCAGCUCGUACUGAUUACGUCCCUGCCCUUUGUACACACCGCCCGUCGCACCUACCGAUUGGAUGGUCCGGUGAAGCCUCGGGAUUGUGGUUCUUGCCGCUUUAUUGUGGCGUGACCGCGAGAACUUGUCUAAACCUUAUCAUCUAGAGGAAGGUGAAGUCGUAACA